This 254-nucleotide ribosomal RNA is filed under the name uncultured bacterium. RNAcentral's name for it is "partial 16S ribosomal RNA". It matches the Rfam family "Bacterial small subunit ribosomal RNA", at positions 524 to 776 of the family's 1533-position model. The record is from RNAcentral.
GACGAACCGUGCGAACGUUAUUCGGAAUCACUGGGCUUAAAGCGCGUGUAGGCGGGCCGGCACGUCCGAGGCUGAAAUCCCCCGGCUCAACCGGGGAAGGGGCGCGGAUACGACCGGCCUGGAGGGGGGUAGGGGGGCCUGGAACUUCCGGUGGAGCGGUGAAAUGCGUUGAGAUCGGAAGGAACGCCCGUGGCGAAAGCGAGGCCCUGGACCCUUUCUGACGCUGAGACGCGAAAGCCAGGGGAGCGAACGGG